UAAUGUGGGAAUCUGCCUUUUGGUUUGGAAUAACACGGGGAAACUUGUGCUAAUACCGAAUAAGCCCUUACGGGGAAAGUUUUAACGCCGAAAGAUGAGCCCGCACUUGAUUAGCUAGUUGGUAAGGUAAAAGCUUACCAAGGCAAUGAUCAAUAGCUGUUCUUAGAGGAAGACCAGCCACAUUGGGACUGAGACACGGCCCAGACUCCUACGGGAGGCAGCAGUGGGGAAUCUUGCACAAUGGGGGAAACCCUGAUGCAGCGAUGCCGCGUGAGUGAAGAAGGCCUUUGGGUUGUAAAACUCUUUCGUCGGGGAAGAAAAUGACUGUACCCGAAUAAGGAGGUCCGGCUAACUUCGUGCCAGCAGCCGCGGUAAUACGAAGGGACCUAGCGUAGUUCGGAAUUACUGGGCUUAAAGAGCUCGUAGGUGGUUAAAAAAGUUGAUGGUGAAAUCCCAAGGCUCAACCUUGGAACUGCCAUCAAAACUUUUUAGCUAGAGUGUGAUAGAGGUAAGUGGAAUUUCUAGUGUAGAGGUGAAAUUCGUAGAUAUUAGAAAGAACACCAAAUGCGAAGGCAACUUACUGGGUCACUACUGACACUGAGGAGCGAAAGCAUGGGUAGCGAAGAGGAUUAGAUACCCUCGUAGUCCAUGCCGUAAACGAUGUGUGCUAGACGUUGGAAAUAUAUUUUUUCAGUGUCGC
This 700-nucleotide ribosomal RNA is filed under the name uncultured Pelagibacterales bacterium. RNAcentral's name for it is "bacterial SSU rRNA". It matches the Rfam family "Bacterial small subunit ribosomal RNA", at positions 113 to 849 of the family's 1533-position model. The record is from RNAcentral. Lineage: Bacteria; Pseudomonadati; Pseudomonadota; Alphaproteobacteria; Candidatus Pelagibacterales.